UACGUAGGGGGCGAGCGUUGUCCGGAUUUAUUGGGCGUAAAGAGCGUGUAGGCGGCUUGGUAGGUCUCGCGUCAAAACCUGAGGCUCAACCUCAGUUCGCGUGGGAAACCACCUAGCUAGAGUCCGGAAGAGGAGAACGGAAUUCCCAGUGUAGCGGUGAAAUGCGUAGAUAUUCGCAAGAACACCAGUGGCGAAGGCGGCUCACUGGUCCGGUACUGACGCUGAGGUGCGAAAGCGUGGGGAGCAAACAGG
This 252-nucleotide ribosomal RNA is filed under the name uncultured bacterium. RNAcentral describes it as "partial 16S ribosomal RNA". It matches the Rfam family "Bacterial small subunit ribosomal RNA", at positions 524 to 776 of the family's 1533-position model. The record is from RNAcentral.